AACGCUAGCUACAGGCUUAACACAUGCAAGUCGAGGGGCAGCAUGGUCUUAGCUUGCUAAGGCCGAUGGCGACCGGCGCACGGGUGAGUAACACGUAUCCAACCUGCCGUCUACUCUUGGACAGCCUUCUGAAAGGAAGAUUAAUACAAGAUGGCAUCAUGAGUCCGCAUGUUCACAUGAUUAAAGGUAUUCCGGUAGACGAUGGGGAUGCGUUCCAUUAGAUAGUAGGCGGGGUAACGGCCCACCUAGUCUUCGAUGGAUAGGGGUUCUGAGAGGAAGGUCCCCCACAUUGGAACUGAGACACGGUCCAAACUCCUACGGGAGGCAGCAGUGAGGAAUAUUGGUCAAUGGGCGAGAGCCUGAACCAGCCAAGUAGCGUGAAGGAUGACUGCCCUAUGGGUUGUAAACUUCUUUUAUAAAGGAAUAAAGUCGGGUAUGGAUACCCGUUUGCAUGUACUUUAUGAAUAAGGAUCGGCUAACUCCGUGCCAGCAGCCGCGGUAAUACGGAGGAUCCGAGCGUUAUCCGGAUUUAUUGGGUUUAAAGGGAGCGUAGAUGGAUGUUUAAGUCAGUUGUGAAAGUUUGCGGCUCAACCGUAAAAUUGCAGUUGAUACUGGAUAUCUUGAGUGCAGUUGAGGCAGGCGGAAUUCGUGGCGUAGCGGUGAAAUGCUUAGAUAUCACGAAGAACUCCGAUUG
Molecule: ribosomal RNA, 694 nt
Filed under: uncultured bacterium
Lineage: Bacteria
Description: bacterial SSU rRNA
Rfam family: Bacterial small subunit ribosomal RNA
Source: RNAcentral